ACAAACACGUAUACAUAGGAGAUGCAUCUUUUUAAACACAUAGUGUUAGUGUUAAAAAGAUGCAUCUGCACAUUUAAAGAAAUGUUUGGUAACAAAAUCAGUGAGCAAAAAGAAACCCAGGAGUACACCUGAAAAUGAGUUUAAGCUUGCAAAUGAUUCUUUUUUAUUGCUUUUUUUUUUUUUUUACAAAAAUGAUGGUACCUUACUUAAAUUGUGAUCUUUUUUCAAUUUCAAUGCAAGCUGCCUGAGCAUUUAAAUGUAGCCCUGCUAAUAUGUACACAUACUCACAUUAAAGUACACUGGUACUACAUAGAAUAUAAUUACUCUAAAAUACACAAGAAAGAGGCCGUUCCUUGUGCACAAAAAAACUUAUUUUCCUUGCUAAACCGCUACCUCUUCGCCUGCAGAUGGCAACCUAACCAGACCACCCCUCCAAAACUAGCCUUUUCCUUUUUUCCAUUUCAGCUGAGCCCACAGCUGCAGUAUUCGCUAAGAGAUCCCUAAACCCUGGGAAGGUUAUUCUGACCAGCCUAGUUUCAGGAUUUCACUGCAGAGACACGACGGUGGAGGUUUAUCGGGAUGAUGACAUCAUCACUGAAGAAGACGGCCUUUUGUCCUCUGGGAUCAGACCAAACGGGGAUGGGACCUGCCAGCUGAGAAAGAGUUUGGAGAUCUCUAACAGCAUUGAAGCAUCAUAUAGCUGUGAAGUCCAGUUCAGAAGUCUUAAGCAACGGGUCAAAUGGGAUGGGAAGAUAUGGGGCCAGGCUGAACCAAAGCAAGACUAUGACACUGGACAUUACUACUGGUUUCUUAUGGUGCUACCUGUGUUGGCCAUUGGUUUACUAUUUGGGGUUUCCAUUUUCAUACUGAGACGCAAAUGCUGCAAACAGGCUGCACCAAAAAUAAAUACAAAUGGAGCAGACCAAUUUUUCGAUGCACCAGAGGAACCCAGAUCAGCAGCUUAAUCAGGAUUCAAGGGAGAAAAUCAACACCAGCCAUCCAACACAUGCAGCAGAUCUUUUGAAUUGACUGCAAAUUUAGCAAUCCUACUGUAUAAAUGAUGCAAUGUAAAUGCUGUGUAAAUAAUUGCGUAAAUAGUUGUGCAGGUUGCUCUGGAUAAGAGCGCCUGCUAAAAUGGCUGUAAUGUAGUGUUCUUCCUCCUAUUUUGACUUACGUUAGGUCAGAAUAAUGUUCACUGUGUGAACCGAACUGUGUCAUUGGCUAUAAAUAACUGUACGAAAUGAGUAUUGUACCUUAUCGAACCUGUGUUCUGUAGCUGUUGCAAUGACCAUCCUAUGCACUCUUGUAUGUCACUUUGGAUAAAAGCAUCUGCCAAAUAAAUGUAAUGUAAUGUAAAGUGGCUCUUAGAGAGGGUACCAUAACUAAAAUACCCCAGGGUUCUCCCCUAAGAGUGUAACUGAGGCAGUGCAGUGCAGCCCUCUGUUCCCUCACUGAAGUCUAAUUACAGUUAGUCAGCUGGCCGAUGACACUGCUAUAUUUCUUCAAAAUAAAUUCCACAUUAUAAUAAAUUGAUAAAUGCUUUUUAUCUUUUUUACUCUGUCAGCUUUGAAUGUCACGGUUGUGUAUUUUGUAUUUUGUAUGUUAAAAUAAAAAUGAUUCAAUAUAAGGUG
Long non-coding RNA from Anguilla rostrata (American eel), 1631 nucleotides. RefSeq lists it as uncharacterized. The record is from RefSeq and is a predicted model, not a curated record. NCBI's taxonomy places the organism in Eukaryota, Metazoa, Chordata, Actinopteri, Anguilliformes, Anguillidae. The transcript has 3 exons.